RNAcentral lists this small RNA (144 nucleotides) under Gopherus agassizii (Agassiz's desert tortoise). RNAcentral's name for it is "TUC338 (ENSGAGG00000003327.1)". Lineage: Eukaryota; Metazoa; Chordata; Testudines; Testudinidae. The record is from RNAcentral.
UUGUAAACCUGGGUGACAGAUGGUUCUGUUGCUCGUAACAGUGGAGAAAAGAAGCGAAGAGGUUUAACCUUGAUUUAGGAGGAACUACCUCUAAAAACAAAACAGAAUAGUUCAGUCUCCAUGCCCAUUCAGUCCGUGGCCUCU